RNAcentral lists this small RNA (114 nucleotides) under Ectopseudomonas oleovorans. Lineage: Bacteria; Pseudomonadati; Pseudomonadota; Gammaproteobacteria; Pseudomonadales; Pseudomonadaceae. The record is from RNAcentral.
AUGGCCCCCCGGCAAGGAUGUCGGGCAGAGACUUACAGGGAUAGAUGGCCAAGGAUUGGCGGCCCGACAAGGAUGUUGGGUUAGGUCUGCGAAACCCCGCUUCGGCGGGGUUUU